AAGUCGUAACAAGGUUUCCGUAGGUGAACCUGCGGAAGGAUCAUUAUCGAAUAAACUUGAACAGGCUGUUGCUGACCCCCCUAGGGUGUGUAUGUGCACGCUUGUCAUCUUUAUCAUUUCUCCAACUGUGCACAUAUUGUAGACCCUUGGAAAGCUUUUUGAAUUUAUUUUCGAGUUGGGACUGCUGUGCUUUUGAUCAAAGUCAGCUUUGCCCUUUGCAUUUCCAGGUCUAUGUCAUUUUUCACAAACCUCUUGAUGCGUUUAGAAUGUGUUGAAUCAGGUCAAUUUGUACCUAUAAAGUUUAAAUAUACAACUUUCAGCAACGGAUCUCUUGGCUCUCGCAUCGAUGAAGAACGCAGCGAAAUGCGAUAAGUAAUGUGAAUUGCAGAAUUCAGUGAAUCAUCGAAUCUUUGAACGCAUCUUGCGCUCCUUGGUAUUCCGAGGAGCAUGCCUGUUUGAGUGUCAUUCAACUUCUCUCAACUACAUCAAUCAGUCUGAUGUGGCUUGGAUGUGGGGGGAUUUUCUUUGCAGGCUUUUUUGAAUGAAGUCUGCUCCCCUGAAAUACAUUAGUGGUGUCUGAGCUGCUGCUAUAGGUGUGAUAAUUAUCUACGCCUUAUGCUAGGUUGGUUGCGCUGCUUCUAACAAAAAAGACCUACAAUUUUAUUAUUGUUUGACAAAUUUGACCUCAAAUCAGGUAGGACUACCCGCUGAACUUAAGCAUAUCAAUAAGCGGAGGAAAAGAAACUAACAAGGAUUCCCCUAGUAACUGCGAGUGAAGCGGGAAAAGCUCAAAUUUGAAAUCUGGCAGUUCUUGAACUGUCCGAAUUGUAAUCUAGAGAAGUGUUACCUGUGCUGGACCGUGUACAAGUCUUCUGGAAUGGAGCAUCACAGAGGGUGAGAAUCCCGUCUUUGACACGGACUGCCUGCACGUUAUGGUGUGCUCUCGAAGAGUCGAGUUGUUUGGGAAUGCAGCUCAAAAUGGGUGGUAAAUGCCAUCUAAAGCUAAAUAUUGGCGAGAGACCGAUAGCGAACAAGUACCGUGAGGGAAAGAUGAAAAGCACUUUGGAAAGAGAGUUAAACAGUACGUGAAAUUGCUGAAAGGGAAACGCUUGAAGUCAGUCACGUCGGCUAGAAAUCAGCCUUGCUUUUGCUUGGUGUACUUUCUGGUUGAUGGGUCAGCAUCAAUUUUGACCAUUGGAUAAAGUCAUUGGGAAUGUGGCAUCUUAGGAUGUGUUAUAGCCCAUUGUCGCAUACAGUGGUUGGGAUUGAGGAACUCAGCAUGCCACAAUGGCCGGGUUUUUUUACCACGUUCAUGCUUAGGAUGCUGGCAUAAUGGCUUUAAUCGACC
RNAcentral lists this ribosomal RNA (1348 nucleotides) under uncultured fungus. RNAcentral describes it as "eukaryotic LSU rRNA". The stretch from base 681 to 1348 matches the Rfam family "Eukaryotic large subunit ribosomal RNA", at positions 1 to 649 of the family's 3401-position model. Lineage: Eukaryota; Fungi. The record is from RNAcentral.